ACACGAAAACUGCUGCUGUUCUGCAGAGAAAAACAAAUGGAUCUGAACUCACAAAGAAAAUACAAAUCCCCACCUUAAUGUCACACUUUAAAUUGCAUGUAUUUCGAGGGUUGAGAAGAGACGACCACUUCAUUCACAGUUGCCUAUUUCUAGUGACUCCUGCAGCAGCACUCUGUGUUUCCACUGGUUGCCCUUCAGCUGGCAGCAUGAAUGAGUCAGGUCAUUUGUUCCCUGCUAUGUUUAGCUGCUUCUAUUUUGGAAGCUGUGAGAGAAGCGACCCUGCCUGAGGACUGGAGCAGACUCCUGCUGCCUCCUCUGUCCAGCUCCUCGCCAGGAUUUUUGUGUAAUUCUCGCGGGGGAUCUUUUUUGGAGGAUUCACGAUGUCGGUGCCCAGCGGCGGCAGUGACAGCGGCGAGCGAGGAACGCACGCUGAUCCGGCCUCGGCUAAACUAACGGUGGUGGUGGGAGACACGCACUUCUCUGAGGAGAAGACGUUGCUGGUUCAGAGCUGUGACUAUUUCCAAGCGCUGUAUCGCUCUGGCAUGAAAGAGUGUCGGCAGCGGGAGAUCCACCUGAAGGGCCUGCGGGCGCGAGGCUUCCUCAUCACCCUGUCGGUGCUGCGGGGGCAGGCGCCCGUCCUGGACGCCGACGACCUCGUUGAAGCCAUUGAAUGCGCCGCCUUUCUUCAGGCCGGGGGCCUCACCAAGCAUCUCAUUGACCUGAUCGACUCUGACAACUGCCUGCUGAUGUAUCACACGGCCGCCACCUUCGGCCUCAUGGACCUCCGCCACGCUGCCGCGCUCUUCAUCCGAGACGUGUACGCCGACGUGGAGGCCGACGCCAGGAGAGCUCUGCCGCCGGAGCUGAUCCGCUACGUGGAGUCCUUGAGCCGGAGUGCGUUCGUGGCCGUGGGGGCGCACGUGACCUGCGGCGCCGAGGAAACGGUGCAUGCUGCCUCCAGGACAAUCUGCUACCUGGAUGAGAGCGCGGACCACUGGGAAGUGCUGUGCGAUCUGCCACCGGAGGCCAGCACGUCCAUGGCCGGCGUCACCGUCCUAGACAACAAGCUCUACGUCGUGGGAGGAGUUCACCGGGUCCAGAAGCAGGUGGUGGACGCUUGUUUCUGCUACAGUGUUGAAGACAACAGCUGGAGCAGGACCGUGGGUCCGGCGCAGCCGCGGUACAACCUCAGCCUCGUGGGCGCGGACGGUCGACUUUACGCCGUCGGAGGAGAGUGCGAGAGAACGGUGAUGUCGUCAGUGGAGACCUACGAGGUCAAGUCUGGGAGGUGGGAGUUCGCUGCUCACCUGCCUCGACCGGCGGCGGGAGCCGCCUGCACCACGGCCAUGGGCAGGAUAUUUGUUUGCCUGUGGAGGCCGAUGGAGACCACAGAGAUCUACGAGUACGCGCCGGAGAAGGACGCGUGGCUGCUGGUGACCACGCUGAUCCGGCACCACAGCUACGGACACUGCGUGGUCGGCCACAGGGACAACCUCUACGUGAUGAGGAACGGGCCGUCGGACGACUUCCUCCGAUGCCUGAUGGACUGUUACAGCCUGCGCUCGGGCCAGUGGUCGUCUCUGCCCGGACACUUCGCCAACAGCAAAGGCUCGCUUUUCACGGCGGUGAUAAGAGGCGACUCUGCGCUCACGCUCAACAGGACCAUGACCCUGGAGUACAGCAUCCAAAGUCAGACCUGGAGACCCAGACGGCAGAUGAAGGGCUUCCCCAGAAGCGGGUCCGUGUGGACCUUCCUGCUGCGGCUGCCGGACAAAUGAGGCGGUCUGCUGUGACGCUGGACGCAUUUAAACAUCUGCACACACAGGGGUUUAAACAAUAGGGAGAUGGUUCCCAGAGUCCUGAGCAGAACGAGCCACUCAGACAACAGGAGGUGCCGGUGUCAGGCCGGGACAGAGCUUCUCCUUUUGUGUGUUUUUGUUCUUUGAGGCUGAGGAGUGAGGCCACACUGAGCUGCUCGUAUUAAGGAGGCUUCACCACGAGCAUCCAGCUCUGCUUGGUCCUGAGGCUGUUGGUGGAGACCAGUCAAUAUGUUUUGGCUCCUCGACUUGGACAAAGAUUUAAGGGGUUAAUUGUUCGAUAAACAUCCCACAAACACUGGUUGUGUUAUAGUUUGUUUGUGUUAUAGCGACCACACACCUCCCUCUCAGUCUGGGGCCAGUGAUCUUACCACUCCCUUUCUUUGUGACUCUUAGAAACGAGACCCUCCCUCGCCCUCUAACCUCCCACUCCCCCACAAGAAGAAGCAGACAAUGAUCUUUGACUCCCAUGAAUAUUAAGUGUGCAGCAUUUGUGCGGCAUUAACUGCUUUCUAAUGUAUGUCCCUGUGUGCACGCAGCUGUGGAGGCGUGUCUGAGGCCGCUUGUCACCGGGCCACAGACGUCCGAUAUUCGCUGCAGCAUGUGUGUGUGUGUGUGUUUGUGUGUGUGUGUGUGUGUGUGUGUGUGUGUGUGUGUGUGUGUGUGUGUGUGUGUGUGUGUGUGUGUGUGUUGCGGGGGGGUAACAGGCCGUCUCACAGCAUUCAAAGGUAAACUUCUGAAAUGAGUAGAAUGAUUUACAGAGCUACAGAAUGUGUUCAUCUGUGCUAACGUGCAGCAUCUGGUUGGAAGGAACAAAGAGCAAACGCACAGUUUCUCUUGUCUCUGGUGUCGUACACAAUUACAACAGACAACAUUGACCCAACCCAGAACUACAAAAGGAAGGACAAUCUUUCAGAGGCAUAGGUGAAGGAUAGAGGGUGAAUGAUUACCAGCCUCAGAUAACUGUGGACACAAUACAAGAGAAGCUCAAAUAACCAAAUAACUUUUUUUUUAUUUCUUGCACCACAAUUUUGAAAAUCCACACAAACCCAUUGACCUUCCGCUUUAAGCUGCUGUUCCGCAGGCGUCGUAAACACCAUUAACGGUGAAUUAAGCAGGCUUAUAUAUUGUGUUGCACUGGUGGAGAACUAGUUAGCUAACUUUACUAGACAGCCAUUGUUUGCAAGUUGCUUGCAAGCUAUAAACGAAGGUUUCCAGGUCAGAUGUGUAUGGGGUGCCAAAUGUAAAAGGAGCAUGUAUAACUCGUUUUCUGACAUUUAGUUAAAUGUUAAAAUUUAGGUAGUCUAAGUCUAAAGUGUAAAUAUAAAGAUUUAUGUAAAAUGUAAUGUAAAAAUAAAUGUUAAAUGUUAAAUAUAAAUGGUAAAUAUAAAUUUAAAUGUAAAUGUAAAUUGUUCAACGAGUGUGCAAGUAGACUCCACCCCGACCCUCAAAGAGUGCUCAUUAAGUUGAUCCUAGAUCAGUGACCUGGACUCAAACACCUUAAACGGUGUGCGCAAACCCCGCCCACAUCUGUUCGGCAGCGCUGUUUGAACAUUUAGAAUUAUUAUUUAUAUUUACAUUUGUAAUUACAUUUAACAUGUUCAUUUAGACUUUGUCACAUUAAGCUAACCGUAGAAAACCUUUUGUAUCAUUUGUUAAAUGUGAGCAAACUAGUUAUACAUGCUCCUAUUACAUUGGGCACCUCAUACUACAUACAUACUGAGAGUUCCAGUCUUGAGGAAGUGGCGGAAUUUAAGCAGCUGAUUAAUGCAAAAGUUAACUAUUUAUUGUUUUAUUGUUGAAUAAAUCUCCGGCAGGCAGCUUUAGCUGUCUCAUUACACAAAAAGCCUCUGGACUUUCUGAUUGUUGCUGUGGGAGGAGACCCAGACUCCCCCGGUUAAAGAUCAGCCCCACUGUUGCUGCUCAUUCACUCAGUUCCUAUCAAAGCUCAACAUUAAUUGACCUAUCGGCAUCCAUUUGCUCCUACAGAAAAAUUCAGGAUGGAUGAGAAUCAGCAUCCUGUGAAGCUGUCGGUCCAUCCGUCCAGAGGACUCGUGGAUGAGAAGUUCACGGUCCUGGUCCAGAACGUCCCCCCUGGUUUCCAGCUGACGGUCCACGCUCUCCACCAGUGCAACAGUAGUCACAUCUGGGAAGCAUUCGGUCACUACACAGCUGAUGCCACUGGAACAGUCAAUGGUACAGCGUCUAGUUCUGCAGACCUUUGCAGUUGGAGAGGAUCCCAGUCUGGGUGGAACAUAUUCUGGGGUCGAACAGAUGGGUCUACUGUGGAGCCUCAGACCGGUUCCAGGCAGCAGACCUGGACUCAGGAUGCAUAAGCUUAACGUCCAGACUCCCAUGGAGG
RNA transcript from Betta splendens (Siamese fighting fish), 4179 nucleotides. It is a transcript of the gene named peroxisomal succinyl-coenzyme A thioesterase-like, with no coding region annotated. The transcript is spliced from 5 exons. NCBI's taxonomy places the organism in Eukaryota, Metazoa, Chordata, Actinopteri, Anabantiformes, Osphronemidae. The record is from RefSeq and is a predicted model, not a curated record.